Molecule: ribosomal RNA, 484 nt
Filed under: uncultured bacterium
Lineage: Bacteria
Description: bacterial SSU rRNA
Rfam family: Bacterial small subunit ribosomal RNA
Source: RNAcentral
GAUGAACGCUAGCGGCAGGCUUAACACAUGCAAGUCGAGGGGUAGAGGAAGCUUGCUUCCUUGAGACCGGCGCACGGGUGCGUAACGCGUAUGCAACCUACCUUUUACAGAGGGAUAGCCCAGAGAAAUUUGGAUUAAUACCUCAUGGUAUAUAUCAUUCGCAUGUUUGAUAUAUUAAAGUUCCAACGGUAAAAGAUGAGUAUGCGUCCCAUUAGCUAGAUGGUAAGGUAACGGCUUACCAUGGCAACGAUGGGUAGGGGUCCUGAGAGGGAGAUCCCCCACACUGGUACUGAGACACGGACCAGACUCCUACGGGAGGCAGCAGUGAGGAAUAUUGGACAAUGGGCGCAAGCCUGAUCCAGCCAUGCCGCGUGCAGGAAGACGGUCCUAUGGAUUGUAAACUGCUUUUAUACAGGAAGAAACACCUCUACGUGUAGAGACUUGACGGUACUGUAUGAAUAAGCAUCGGCUAACUCCGUGCCAG